ACGGGGGAUGCAAGCGUUGUCCGGAUUUAUUGGGUUUAAAGGGUGCGUAGGUGGUUUGAUAAGUCAGUGGUUAAAUUAAGCAGCUCAACUGUUUACAUGCCAUUGAUACUGUCAGACUUGAGACUUGAGGGGGUAAGCGGAAUUGGUAGUGUAGCGGUGAAAUGCAUAGAUACUACCAGGAAUAUCGAUAGCGAAGGCAGCUUACUACACAAGGACUGACACUGAGGCACGAAAGCGUGGGGAUCAAACAGGAUUAGAUACCCUGGUAGUCCACGCCGUAAACGAUGAUAACUCGUUGUUAAUGUUCGCAUUAGUGACUAAGGGAAACCGAUAAGUUAUCCACCUGGGGAGUACGGUCGCAAGACUG
RNAcentral lists this ribosomal RNA (367 nucleotides) under uncultured bacterium. RNAcentral's name for it is "bacterial SSU rRNA". It matches the Rfam family "Bacterial small subunit ribosomal RNA", at positions 525 to 896 of the family's 1533-position model. The record is from RNAcentral.